GGAGAGAUGGCUCAGCAGUUAAGAGCACUGUCUUUGGGGGCUGGAGACAUGGAUCAGUGGUUAAGAGCACUGAGUGUUCUUUCAGAGGACCUGGGUUCAAUUCCCAGACCCACCU
This 115-nucleotide transfer RNA is filed under the name Cricetulus griseus (Chinese hamster). It matches the Rfam family "tRNA". Rfam says of the family: Transfer RNA (tRNA) molecules are approximately 80 nucleotides in length. Their secondary structure includes four short double-helical elements and three loops (D, anti-codon, and T loops). The record is from Rfam by way of RNAcentral. Lineage: Eukaryota; Metazoa; Chordata; Mammalia; Rodentia; Cricetidae.